UGUGUCGCUGCACUACAGACAGUCUCC
This 27-nucleotide non-coding RNA is filed under the name Homo sapiens (human). The record is from RNAcentral. Lineage: Eukaryota; Metazoa; Chordata; Mammalia; Primates; Hominidae.